UCUGGAGGGGAAGAAGAAGAAGAAGGAGCACAAAUCACACCUUAAUACCGCUUGAGAAACUCCGGAGUGAAAUUUCAGAAGGAACCUAAAAUGUACAGAAUGACUUUGACUUUCUGUCAACUUUGAAAUGCACACGUUCAUGUGUCAGUACUUUUUGCACGGCUGUUCUCAAACAGCGUUUCAUCCCUGAAUGGCCAGAUAUAUUCGACUUUGGUAUUAAUUGGUCAUCUUCAUCACACGGUUGACAUUCGAGGGGGCCGGUACCAAAUGGGCCACGGCCCGGUAUUGGUCCACGGACUGUUGGUUGGGGGACCCCUGCUAUAGAAGACUACCAUUUGUCGGAAUCUGGGUCAAAUUCGGCCGAGAGUAGCUUUAUUUGCUGUGCGGACCCCGACAGGUGAAUACAUGCUCUUAAGAAGUAACAGAUGAGGGUGACGAGCAGAGCGGCGGCCACCGUUCCCGUGGAAACACCAAACUUGAGCCAAAAAUCCAGACUCACACAAGCGCUGACAGUCUGGGCUGGGAGAGCCUCUCCUCCGGCACACCGCAACGGCUGCUGCCAGACCGGACACGCAUGCUGACUCUGCCAAAGGAAGUGGAAAGAGCAGCCAUCGCACGUCCCCUCCGAACAGUUACUGUCGAAGAGAAACCAAACAGGGAGAUUUGUUGGAG
This is a long non-coding RNA of Hippocampus comes (tiger tail seahorse), 672 nucleotides long. RefSeq lists it as uncharacterized. The transcript has 3 exons. The record is from RefSeq and is a predicted model, not a curated record. Lineage: Eukaryota; Metazoa; Chordata; Actinopteri; Syngnathiformes; Syngnathidae.